UACGGGGGGGGCAAGCGUUGUUCGGAAUUACUGGGCGUAAAGGGCUCGUAGGCGGCCAACUAAGUCAGACGUGAAAUCCCUCGGCUUAACCGGGGAACUGCGUCUGAUACUGGAUGGCUAGAGUUUGGGAGAGGGAUGCGGAAUUCCAGGUGUAGCGGUGAAAUGCGUAGAUAUCUGGAGGAACACCGGUGGCGAAGGCGGCAUCCUGGACCAACACUGACGCUGUAAAACGAAAGCCAGGGGAGCAAACGGG
This 253-nucleotide ribosomal RNA is filed under the name uncultured bacterium. RNAcentral's name for it is "partial 16S ribosomal RNA". It matches the Rfam family "Bacterial small subunit ribosomal RNA", at positions 524 to 776 of the family's 1533-position model. The record is from RNAcentral.